Molecule: transfer RNA, 72 nt
Filed under: Camelus bactrianus (Bactrian camel)
Lineage: Eukaryota; Metazoa; Chordata; Mammalia; Artiodactyla; Camelidae
Also listed under: 2 other names
Rfam family: tRNA
About the family: Transfer RNA (tRNA) molecules are approximately 80 nucleotides in length. Their secondary structure includes four short double-helical elements and three loops (D, anti-codon, and T loops).
Source: Rfam by way of RNAcentral
GGGGGUAUAGCUCAGUGGCAGAGCAUUUGCUUAGCACACUCAAGGUCCUGGGUUCAAUCCCUGGCACCUCCA